Lolium perenne is the source of this 198-nucleotide non-coding RNA. Lineage: Eukaryota; Viridiplantae; Streptophyta; Magnoliopsida; Poales; Poaceae. The record is from RefSeq and is a predicted model, not a curated record.
CCUUCUUUUCCUCACGUGCAGCUAUAUGUUUCCGUCUCAAGGGAAACUUUCAGGAGAGGAUUAAAGGUUUUGGCUCUUCAGAAACAGGAGACUUGCUAUUACUGAGUGUGCACGUUGGCUGAGAAGGACUACCAUCACACAAUGACAGUUGUCUCUACACAUAUCUACAUGCACUGCGUACAUUGAAUCCUCAAGCUU